ACCACCUACUUUGUUCUACUCGUGCCUUAGCACUCCCCCUGUGCCCUGUACUUCCAGAAGUUUAGCCCUUUGUUAGGGCAUCUAGUCUAUAACAUGGCAAGCUACUGUCUAUAACUGAUUUUAGUUAUAUUCUGCUGGAUUUGUACCUCACUCUACUAUAGCACGCUUUAAAAAUGCACAGGGGAAUUGUAGGCAGAGAGGGCACAAAGUACAGCAAAAGAAAAGUACACAGCAAGUUGUGUGUCUGGGAGGGUCAGGAAGGAGUCACACACGGUGACACCACAUCCAAGGGCAAAAUUACUUUCUUUAUUGAACAUAUUUUUUAAUCCCGCCUCUCUCCUUCAAAAGGACCCAAGUUAUGAUCGUUCUUGAUACAAAGCCUCCGGAACUACUGAGUACAGUACUGUGCGCCAGUUAUCCGCCCGAUGCCCUUAUUAGGAGGAAAGGCCCUAAACCUCCCCUUCGAUGAGGAAAUCAGAUCAUAAAUAUCCUCCCCGCCACCCACCCGCACCCAGAGGUGGUUUAAGCGUGCAAGAGGCGGCCUGAGGCGUCCUCCCGGGAGCUGCCUCAGGACCCAGCCUCUCUCUCCAAAAAGCCGCUCCCUUCGACCGUCUCGGCACCUGCUCGAACUUGAGCGGCUCUUUGCUUUAUGAACAGCGAGGGCUCCUCCGUCGUCUCCGGACAGCCCCGAACGAGGAGAGUCGUGGGGAAGGUUUGAGAGAGAGAAAGAAAAGAGUUCACAGGACCAGCGAAACCGCGCCUUUGGAGGAAGAGGCGGCAGCAGCAGCCGCCAUCGCGCGGAUUUUCACUUUCGCUACUUCGAGCGGCCGGGACGCCGGGACGACGCGACGGCCAUGUGGGGACUGUUCUGGGCUCUGCUCCUGCUUCUUCGGUUGGAGCUUCCGCUCGGGGCCUCGCCAGAAGAACAGUGUCAUCAGAAUACCAUCGGUGGCAUUGAAGGAAAAGAUAUUGCUUUACACCCAAAUGUUAGUGGCUCGCCAGCAGAGAUUACCUGGAUGAAAGACAGAAAUAUAGUGGCUACGUCAAUUGAUGGUUUUCCAACAAAGAACAAUUUAGAGCUUAUCGUUAAUAAUGGUAGUUUGAUUCUCCACAACCUGUCACUGAAAGAUGUUGGAUGUUACAAAGCUGAAAUUGAAGUUAAAGAUGAAGUAACAGAAACAUUUUUUGGUUUGAAAGUAUUAGUACCACCUAGUUUAACCUGCUCUACCAAUGAUAGCAUCCAAAUAAGCUGCAAUCUGCCCACCAACAUGCUGGAUCUGUCACCAUCAUAUGAGUGGAAAGGCUUUGAAAAAGAUGAAAUUAUUCAUUCUAAUUGGUCUUUUGUGCAACUUCACAAAAACAUAGACCCUUCUAAGAAAAUCACGUGCAUCAUUACUGCUUUCAAUGUAAAUGUGAGCAACUCCAUCAAUUUGAAUGAAUGUAUCCGGAAAGAUGAUCCUAUGCCAUCUCCAGAAGGAGGAAACAUAAGUGAUAAUCAGCCAGAUGUUAACCUAGACUCAGCUGAGAACUUGGAAGGAAGCAGAGAGGAAUCGUCUCCACCAGAAAGUUGA
RNAcentral lists this long non-coding RNA (1571 nucleotides) under Pogona vitticeps (central bearded dragon). Its description in RNAcentral is "lncRNA (ENSPVIG00000025214.1)". Lineage: Eukaryota; Metazoa; Chordata; Lepidosauria; Squamata; Agamidae. The record is from RNAcentral.